RNAcentral lists this ribosomal RNA (729 nucleotides) under Glaesserella parasuis. RNAcentral describes it as "partial 23S ribosomal RNA". It matches the Rfam family "Bacterial large subunit ribosomal RNA", at positions 1 to 774 of the family's 2925-position model. Lineage: Bacteria; Pseudomonadati; Pseudomonadota; Gammaproteobacteria; Pasteurellales; Pasteurellaceae. The record is from RNAcentral.
AGUUAAGUGACUAAGCGUACACGGUGGAUGCCUAGGCAAUCAGAGGCGAAGAAGGACGUGCUAAUCUGCGAAAAGCUUGGAUGAGUUGAUAAGAAGCGUUUAAUCCAAGAUAUCCGAAUGGGGAAACCCGAUGGAUGAAGAAUCCAUCAUUUCAUUAUGAAUCCAUAGUAAUGAAAGGCAAACCGGGAGAACUGAAACAUCUAAGUACCCCGAGGAAAAGAAAUCAACCGAGAUUUUGUCAGUAGCGGCGAGCGAAAGCGAAAGAGCCAGCAAGUGAUAGCAGCAAAGACAGAAGAAUUGGCUGGGAAGCCAAGCGACACAGGGUGAUAGCCCCGUAUUCGAAGUUUUUGUUGUGGUACUAAGCUUGCAACAAGUAGGGCGGGACACGAGAAAUCCUGUUUGAAGAUGGGGGGACCAUCCUCCAAGGCUAAAUACUCCUGAUUGACCGAUAGUGAACCAGUACUGUGAAGGAAAGGCGAAAAGAACCCCAGUGAGGGGAGUGAAAUAGAACCUGAAACCGUGUACGUACAAGCAGUGGGAGCCCUUUUGGGUGACUGCGUACCUUUUGUAUAAUGGGUCAGCGACUUAUAUUUUGUAGCGAGGUUAACUGAAUAAGGGAGCCGAAGGGAAACCGAGUCUUAACUGGGCGGAUAGUUGCAAGGUAUAGACCCGAAACCCGGUGAUCUAGCCAUGGGCAGGUUGAAGGUUGGGUAACACUAACUGGAGGAC